GUGGGGAAUCUUAGACAAUGGGGGAAACCCUGAUCUAGCCAUGCCGCGUGAGCGAUGAAGGCCUUAGGGUUGUAAAGCUCUUUCAGCUGGGAAGAUAAUGACGGUACCAGCAGAAGAAGCCCCGGCUAACUCCGUGCCAGCAGCCGCGGUAAUACGGAGGGGGCUAGCGUUGUUCGGAAUUACUGGGCGUAAAGCGCACGUAGGCGGACCGGAAAGUCAGAGGUGAAAUCCCAGGGCUCAACCUUGGAACUGCCUUUGAAACUCCUGGUCUUGAGGUCGAGAGAGGUGAGUGGAAUUCCGAGUGUAGAGGUGAAAUUCGUAGAUAUUCGGAGGAACACCAGUGGCGAAGGCGGCUCACUGGCUCGAUACUGACGCUGAGGUGCGAAAGCGUGGGGAGCAAACAGGAUUAGAUACCCUAGUAGUCC
RNAcentral lists this ribosomal RNA (425 nucleotides) under uncultured bacterium. Its description in RNAcentral is "partial 16S ribosomal RNA". It matches the Rfam family "Bacterial small subunit ribosomal RNA", at positions 354 to 796 of the family's 1533-position model. The record is from RNAcentral.